CGCUCCCAGGUGCGCAGAGGGAAGAAGCAUCAGGUGUGCUUCCAUAGCCUCCACACAGCCGACCAGCUACGGUUAGACGGGAUGCCUGCCCAGGACACGCAAAACCGAAGGAUGCUGAAUAUUUGAAAGUGGUUUGGCCGCUGGCAGUCAGCUGUGGGAGCCGCAGGAAUCAGAAUGCAGGAAUUUGGGUCUUUGUUUCAGGAACAUUCCUUGGAAAGUGUCGAGGCCAGCUGCAAGACGGUCCGAAAUCCCUCAUCUUAUCUACGGUCGGCGCAGGGAGCUACCCGGGGGACCCGGCGGGUACCGUCCCUCCCGGCUCCGGGAGACCCUCCCGGCCGGCUUGCCGGGGAGCCGGCGCUCGCUGGGGAUCACAUCCCUUCCCAACCCAGGAGUUGCUCUGCACCGUCCCGACCCCAGGAGAAGCUCCUAUCUCCUCUCCGCAUGCCAAUCAUGCUUAAACAUACUCUGUGUUUGUUGGAGGACAAGUUGAUUCUAGCUGUAUGUCUGAGCUACAGCCCUCAUCCUCGUGUGUUUCCAAUAGAGGAGCAAAAGCAUGGAGAGAGGUGAAAAUGGGGAGCUGAGUUGAUCCAUUACCUUCCAAGGAGUGUUACUUAUGGCCUGAAAAGCCCCAUGGAGGACCAGGAGCUCCUUUGGAGGAUCAGGAACUGUGGGGAGAGCAAAAGAGAGACUCAAUUUGAAAAAGUAAUCCUUUGGAAAGCUAUAGUAUCUCAGUUUCUGCUCCAGACUAUCUUUGCUAUGGCACAUGCCCGACCUGGGAGCUGGUGAGCAAUGCCUCUCAGAUCUCGGGGCAAAGGUCAGUAGCUGCAUAGUGGCCUCUGGAUUCUUCAGAUACCGACCCUCAUCAUGUGGGGAGGCAUUAACCUUUGGCCCUGAAGUGAAAGCAACAUAGGCUUGGAGAUGAGGGUCCCAUAGUGGCCUGUCCCUGUUGGUGACUGCACUUCCAGCUCUACUGGGGAAGCUCUUCCUUUGAAGUACAUCUCACUUGGGCAGGAGCCAAUGUCACGAGGAGGAAACUAAUAGCUUGUAAAGAGAACCCCACAGGGUAUCAGAGGAAAUUUCUAGACCUGCUGGGAUCAGAAUUGGUGCAGAUCCACCUCAGUGGCUUUCCCCAGGCAGUCAGAAAGUCAAAGACAGGCUGCAACCAGGCCUGAAUGGACCCGUUCUUCUCAGCCAACCGCUAACACUUAAGGAUUUAUGAAAAAUUUCCUUGGCAUUAUGUGCUUGGUGGUAAGCUUGCUCUGAGGGAACGUGCUCGCAGAAGGACAACUCUUUGACAAAAUUAUCUUUGAGGCUGUGCCAAUAACAGCUAGAGGAACUCAGGUGCAGCUCCAAAAAGGCUGCUCCCCCCUUAUGAGGACCAUUGCAACAGGUAGACAUGGUAAUGUAGUGCUAAACUGCCUUCUCUUUCUCCCUAGUCUGAGAAAUGCAAAGUUUUCUCAAUGUAAAGAAACUAAUUACUUAUUUUUCAGGCUGUUAAACCAAAUGCAAUAUAUACAUCCCCCCCCAGUGUGCUCUGGCAUUGCUGCUGCUGCAAUCACAGCAGUAAAGGAUUUUGCUGCUGCUGUUGCCAUAUUUUUCUUGUGGCACGUUUUUAGACAAAGCUGUGUCUUGUUUUUGGAUUUUUUUUUAAUGCACUGGGAAACUUCUGCUCUCACUCCUUGGCCAGUUUACUUUGCCAAAUCCCCAAAUUAAUUUCUUUGAAUGUUUCUUUGUUAUUUCUCAGUAAGUCUUCUUUUUUUUUGUCCUUUCUCCUUCUCAUAUCAUGAGGUCUUUUUCCCCUCCUCAAACCAGUGACCAACAGAAAGACCUUGAGUAACAAUCUCUCACCCUUAACCAUCUAAUUUUUUCAGCUCAGACUUUUCUCCACCAUUCUGUCUUUUGUGUGCUGAAACCAGUUAUUACCUUGAUUACAGAGCAUCCCUUCAUGAUGAAAUAGCUCUGGUGCUGAGCAGGAGCACAGGCAAAGCUCAGACACCUACCCUUUCUUCAGACAAGUUUUCAUGCUCCUAUGCUUAGAGAUUGAUAAAAUUCCCCAUGUUAUGUACUGAAGUACUGAUGUACUGGUUUCCUUUUCCAUGGAUUCACAAUGAAAUGUGGUGGGUUUGUUCUGUUUUCUUUUUUAAAGUUCCUGCCCAGAUGUUUCCAAUUGAUUACCUUUUCUUUAAAUUUAACUUGUUUCUAUUUAAUUCUAUUUAAUUUACUUAACAUUUUUGCCAAGACUUGUACUACUAAGGUCUAAGAGGAGAAGGGCUGCGUGUGGAGGCAGUACUUUUUUCCCAAUGAGAUUCUUUCUGCCCCUGCUACACAAGUGUGAGUAGUUUUAACUGCCUUAUUUUUUUUUUUUUUUUUUUUUGAGUGAGGAGCAGGUAAGGUAGUUGUAAAAAAAACAGGAUCUGAGUUUUCCUUUUGCUGUGCUCUGACUUUUCCAAGGCUUGUGAAGUACUGAAGGGGUCUGCGAUGGGAAAAAUCAACAAAUGCCUCUUCCUUUGUAACAACAUGUUCUGCAAGGGUUGCCUUUCCAUUGUGAUAUCCCCUCUUUUGGCCUUGCUUUGCUCAUCUACACCAACUACCAUUACUUUGAGCUGCGCUGCAAAUAGCAAACCACUGAAGGAGAGGAGGGGCCCUCUUAUUUGGAAGAAAGCUUCCCUUUAGAUAUUCUUGGAGUGAGUUUGGAAUUAUCUUGUUGCUUUUGUGAAGGAUUUUGUCAUUUGCUACUUUGUGACAUGUGGCAAAUCAAUUUGAAUUUCCCAGCUCUCUGCAGCACAUCACUCUGUGUUCCACCUGUCUUGCCAGACAGAUUAGAUUUGCACUUGUAAAGUCUAAGCAAGCAAAGUAUUUGUACCAAUGAUGGAAAUAUUUUCUCCUUCCUCAUGACAUGACUGGGCAGAGUGUGUAUGAAGAGUGGGUGUGCUCAGGUACAGGCAAUGCGUGUGUAUCAGGACUGUGUUUACAAGUGAUGCUCAGAAGACCAGUCCCUGGGCUUGCACUCUGCUGCUGCUGCUGCAUCCCUGGCUGGUGCUGCCCGUCCCUUCUUCCGUGGAACAACAGUGCCAACUGCUGGCUGCCGAGCCUCCCCUGCCAGGAACCGGCUGUGCCUGCGGGUGGAACUGGUCCUCUAAGCUUAAUUUUAGGGUCACCACUACCUAAAACAAAGCAUCCCUUUGCUGAUGGUUUGGAUACUUCGCAGAAAUAUCUCGGUUUGGUGGUCCUUGUUUCCAUACCAAAAUAAUAUUCUACUGAGCUCAGGUGAGCCUGGGCCGGUUACCUUUCCUUGUGACAUUUCUCACAUUCAUUUCAAAACUAAUUGUUAAUGAUGUUUUAAAACUCUGUGUUUCUCCUCAUCUCCCAGGGCUGGCUGCUCAGAGGAAGGAGAAGGUUUCUGCUCUGAGCAGUGGAAGGGCCAUGAAAGGUGUUGUAUGCUCCCUGGAAGAUUUUAAUCGUGGAGUUGUGGUAGCAAUUUGCCAUCUACAAAUUUGAGAUACACAUACGUGUUAUAGCUACAAUGAACUCUGGGGAAUAUGAGAUGGUGGUUUAUGUAUUUCUGCACAGGAUACUACACAGUGGUUUUGUUCAGGGAAAAAAGGGAAAGAAAACAGUGAGGAUAAGGAAAAGAAGACAAUAUGCAGGUGUACAUGUAAGUGUCAUUUUGUUUGAAUUUCAGUGAAAUGCUUUAAUAGAAAAAGUAGUUUGUUUGGAUUGUUGUUUUUUGUUUUGUUUUGUUUGUUUGUUUGUUUUUUUCACUAAGAAGAAUAUCAAAUGGGAAAGACAGGUCUGUUUCUUUAAAUGUUUCCCGUGAAAAAGUGCUCACGUUAUUUUUUUUCUCUAUAAGGCUCUGUAUGUUCCCUGUCUCCUUUCCUUUCUGACCUGUGUUCUUAUUCUGGGAGGGUUACAGUGUUUGCAGGAGGUGGCAGUAGAGAGGACACAUGGAUGUGGAGUAGGAAAUGGGAAGGAAAAAAGUAUUAAAAAAAGAAAUUUAGAGAGCUUUGCAGAGAAAGGGGAAAGACGGUGAAUGGGUAAAGCAAUAAACCUGGGAGAGAUGAUCAGGGGAAGUUUGUAGAGAAAAAAAAGGGUAGGGACAGGAAAAGACAGGCAGCCAAACAAACUGAAAGUGAGUUUAAUGAGUCAGUGUUUCUGUGUGUUUCUGGCACCUCCCAAAGGGCCAUUUUUUACUUGCUCCCAGCCACAAAUGUUCUUCAUAAUUUUUGGAACAGAACACAAGAGGAAAACUAAUAAAUCAGCUAUUCUUAAACAUAUGUGACAAGCCCAGGCUGAGGUGCAGGUGAACCACAACCAUGUGAGGUCCCUUAAACUGAAGUUGGAGAACUUUGGCCACCACCGCAGGUUUAGCGCUGCUUCCAGCCCUCUGUUACUCUUUCACUCACGUGGUGUUGUGUUCCCCCUCCAGCCCCAAUGUCUUCAUAGGGAAAUCUAAAUGAGGCAGAAAGGAGAAAAAAAUAAAACUAACCCCCUCAAAAAAGAGCAGUAUUUUGAUGCUAACUUGAAAGACAGGAACAUCAAAACUCCUCCUGUGGACCUGAAACCUUAGGUUUUAGGGAGUUUGUUUUCAGGAGAAGCUUAUAAACCCUAUGAAAAAAGUAGCCCUCAGGCAGUCUGUCACUGUAGCCCCAACUGGGAGCCCCAAGCUGGCUCUGGGCGCCAUUGGGGACGGGAGGGCCACAACACUCAGCAGCGGAGAAAUUGUGUGCAAGCGCAGUUCUGCUUGUGUAGUGGGUUCCAUGCCAGUCAGGUGUUAUGCUAAAUGUCAGGAGUGGGAAACUGGAGCAAUUAGGGGACAAUCUCAGUCAGUUUUACAAGCCAUGCAACAAAAUAUUUCUUGUGAAAGAAAUUGACAUUCUGUGAAACUGAUUUCUUAAGUAUCAUAAAUCACAGGUUUUGGGUUAGAAAGGACUUUAAAGAUCAUCUAAUUCCAACACCCCUGCCAUGCGCAGAGACACCUUCCAGGAGACCAGGUUGCUUAGAGCCCCAUUCAGCAUAAACACUUCUAGGAAUGGGGCAUCUACAACUUCCCUGGGCAAUCUGUUCCAGUGCCUCACCACCCUCACGUCAAAGAAUUUCUUCCUUAUACCUAAUCUAAAACCACCCUCUUUCAGUAUGUACUGCUCUGUUUCUAAUGACAGUGUGUUGAAUUUUUAUUAGUGAUGUGAAUAAUUAAGCCGGAUGUCAUGCCAUUAUUUGUUAUUUCUUUUAAUUAAGCAAAAUGAAAAUUUUGCCAGGACACGUGGUUGCAAUUUUCAAGAGUCUUGUUCUAAUCACGCACUGAUUUAUUUUACUUUCGCACACACAGGCAUUCCUCCUACACUGUAUGUUUCUCCAAAUAAAGGGAGCAGGCUACAUGCUUUCCUAUCCAUGGCAGGCCUUUGUCACUGAGAUACCCAACCUCUUACUGAAAAUAUAUUUAUAUGUAUAAUAUAUUAUUGUAUUAUUAAGGAAACUUAAUGGUGGAGCAGAACUGAGCAUACUCACCGGAGAGAAAGCGCACAUAAAGGUAGGAUGAGAGGCUGGAGAAGGCAGAGAGCUGUUACUCCCUGUACCAGCCAUAGGUUUUUCCUGCGGUGGGGUGGGAUGCCAUGGGGACAGGUGAGGUGCCUGUGUCUGCUGUCCCUGCAUCCUGAGCAGUGGCAGUGGUGCUGGGAGCUGCAAUGCCGCUAGAUGUCCCUUGUCACCCGAGUGAGGUAGGCGGCUCAUCCCCACCCCUGAGCUUCAGGCAUAUACGAUGUAGUGUUAUAAAGAAGCCUGUGGUUUAAGUAUUAAAUAUCGAGAAAAGUUGUGUCUGUAUUAAAAAAAAAGUCUUGUGUCAGCCUGUGAGGUAACAUAGGUACCAAGGAAAAGGGUACUUCUUUAGCCACUUUAAUUUUUGGUGGAACACACUCCACCAUAGGGAGGAUUUCAUUUUGAAGGCUUAUUUACACCAGGGCAAUUCAAUAUUUCCUGGUGGAAAAGAAAUCAUGCUAGGAAAUGCUGAUUUGGUGAGCCUAACACCAUGAUUUCAGCUACCUUUCCCCUGCUGACACAGGCCUGUCUGGUGCAAGGUGGGGUCCUGGUAUCCUGCAUCAGCUGAGCUGGUGGGGGGGUUUGGGGGGAAAAGGACCUACAGGCUUUCCUUGCACCUGCUUAAUGAUUUUGCCAUUUUAGGCAUGUUUAUGUCGAAAAAGGCCAGAAAAAAGGUCACUUCUGUGAAGAACUCAGCCCCUCCACCUCACUGGUGCAGCUGUAGCCCCAAAGGCUCAAUGUGCCCCUACAGAGUGGGGAAAAGGCUGGUGGAAGAGGGAACAGCUGCUGAGGGAGGUGGACUGGUGUAGGUAUAUGGUAUGGAGCAGGCAGAGCUAAGGGCAAGAGGCUGCAAGCUCUUGGAGGCAGUGUCUAAAGGGGGCACAAGGAAACUUCCCAAACCUGCUUCCACCUGGCCUUCCAAAACCUUUCCUUAUGCUUCCCAGCACUUGUGUCACUCAGUGUGCACAGAUCCAUGUGGAGCCCAUGCUGCUCAGCCACAUGGUUUGUGUUUGCCUUGUGGCUUGAUCCUCUCUCCAGCCAGCUGUGCUGGUGCUGCCAUGCUAGUGGUGCUCUUGCCCCUCCAGACCAGUGUGACAGCUGGGUUUGAAGGGCAGCCUCCAACAGCAGGAGUGUGCCAGCCCCUCAGUAGUCCUGUAAGAGUUAAUGCCUCCCUGUGCCCAUGUUUUCACCACAGUGGAAGCUGUGUUUCCAUAUGUCCCUAGCUUCCAUAGCUGGCACCUUGGCGUGGGCAUCUGUGCCACUCCGCAUGGCUGUGCCCUUGCAAAGACUCACCUGAACUUGUGCUGGGCAAAUCCUCCCACUCCUGGUCUCCUACAGUGCCCCGUGUGCCCUCUGCACAUACCACGGCUGCACAGUGGGGUGUGCAUGCCCCUAAACUGCCCUGAAAGCAACGACAUGGCUCACCUGACCAGCCAAUGUCUCCCAUGUUAUGGACUUUUCUCCAAUGUAGGUAAUAACUGAUUGACUGUCACCUGUUUCUCAGAAUGAGCUGCUGUGGUGCGUGACUGCACAAACCAAGCUGUUGUGUAUUCAGAGUCAUGUCUGCCUGCCUGGAUUACAGAAAUGAAGCAUUUGCUGCUUGCUACUUCAUUUAAACCUGCGGGACCCCAUAGGGCGCAUCCUCCUCGUGCACCAAGGUGUCCAUGUGUGCCACUUGUCAAUCAGGGACUUCUUCACCAAGUAACAUCUGAGCAAAUCUCUUAAUAACAGAGGGACUACACACAGAUUAUUGUGAUCAUAAUUUCACCAACAUAGCCUUUAUUACUAAUGGUGAUAUUGGAGGUGGAAAACCCAGCUCGAUUCUCAGAUCCCUACUGGAAAGUAAUAAAAUAAAGAGGAACAAAAUCUGUGCUUGUACUUGCUACCAAACCUUUGAAAAACACAAAAGUGGAACCCUGCCAAUGCAAUUGCUGGCAAUUUUUCAGAAUGGAGCCUCAUUCUGAGGUAGGAUUAGAAGUGGAAGUGCAUUUUGUGUCUCUAACAUUAAUGUCAUGUUAUCGUGUACAAAUGGAGGGCUUACAGUCAUUUGGCAUUUACUGGUCUCUAUUUUAAUUAUUGUGUGCCAGUCUUAACACCUUCAGAGUAUUUUUGAACACCUUCUGAUAAUAGAAUAAUUAGAAAAUAACUUCAUCAAUCAUGAAAAAAAUGGUGCCUAUUUUGUUAAGGCGAACAACUGACAAAAGAAGUACUUCAGUAGAAGUGGUCUGAUAAAAAUGGAGCUGUGUUUCAUUUUGCUUUGUUGAGAACAUGGAUGAAGGCAGGCUGGCUUUUAUUUAGUCUUUUGUUCAUUCCUGGGCAAUGGCAGAAUUCGCAGCUAAAUUGUGGCGUCAGAAAAUUCUCGGAUGGUAGCUGAGAAUGAUAUAGUAUCAUGUAUUCUCACAGUAACAACAACAAAAAAUUCCUAACUCAUAGCUCAGAUUUUGAAUAUCAGAAUGAGCUUUCAGUACUAAGAAAUGAGCCUGCAGUACUAAGAAUACAGAAAAAAACUACUAAAAUUUUCCAAACCCAAGAAGAUUCACUUGAUAUAACCAGUAGCAAAAAAAGAAAAAACAAAAAAAACCAAAGAGGAAUGUAAAUGUAAUUUUAAAUUAUUUAUUUCAUUCUCUCUCUUUUUUCAUGUUAAUAUAUCCUUGGCUCCUAGUUCACAAUGACAUGCUAAUUACAAAUGUAAGAAAACCUAACUUUUUAUUGUGCUAAUUAACCUGUAUGUCACAUAGACAUUUGGGGAGAAUUUCCCAUGCUUUCUAGUGAGAAUGGAAGGAAAGAGCAGCGGUGCUCACUUAAAACUGAAUUUUUUUUCCUAGUACCUUGCAAAAAGGCAUCAUUGUAUUUUGAUUAAUCCAUGCUUGGUCCAUCUCGGAUGUUUCCAUGGAAACAGAAUUUUUUUCCUUGAUGGAAACUGUUAGGCUCAGGAAAGCUCCUCAUUGCACAAAACCAUCAAGCUCCUAAAGAACCACUUGUUGGAAAUUUAAUGUGCAUAAACAAAACUCCCAAAUUCCUCCUUAGUGUUAUUGUUGUCAAUGCUAAUAGAGAACUGUUUUCUUAAUGACACACAGUGGUGCCUUUUCACUCCACAAGAAAAUAGAAUAACAGUAGUAUUCUUUCCAUUGCAAGAGAGUACUUCUCCUGGUCCAGAGACAAUUAGCCUGCAAACCUUCCAAAAUUAAAUUUUAGGAGUUCUGAUGUGUGUAUAUUACUUAUUUCUGGAUCCAAAUAAUUUGGUUUAAUGGCUGUUAAAUUGUAAUUGAUUUUAUAAUGAAGAUUAUUCUUGUGUGCCUCAGUUUGGGUUAUGGAGUUUUGUUGGGGUUUUUGUUUCAUUUGGUUUUUGUUUGGUUUGGGUUUGGAUUUUUUCCUCCCAAAAAGUAUAUACUCUCUUAAUGGAUAUUACUGUGAUAUUCGGAAUACCAUUUGAAAAUCAACCAACAGAGGGAGCAUUUUUGUGUUAUUAUUAAUUUAACCAAGUAGUUGGAAACCUGACCAUCAUUUCUCCCAUUAUUUUUGGACAACAUGUUUAUUGCGUAAAAUUAGAGGAUUUCUUGACCAUUAAAAUGUCUUAGUUCAGAGUGUUUUAGUUUUAAAAAAGUCCAGUCUUAACUUCUGCUGACAAUGCAAGUAGCUAUUUUAAAUUGUUGGGUUUAUUGCUUGUAAAUCUAGAAGUUUUAGACCACAGAGUAUUUAUUACUUUGAUUAAUAGGUAAUUGCUGGUUAAAAAUACAUUGAGAAAAACAGCUCAAACUCCUCUAAUUUAUAUUUGCCUUUUAUUACAGUGGCAUUUAGGAGUACUACCCAGACUCCAAGAUCCAUCAUACAAGAGCCUAUAAAAACACAGAAUGUAAAUAGUUUUGUUACAGUAAUGCCCUGAUGCUAGUGCUUGUGUGAGGGCAGAGAGAGAAAAAAUCUAUUGACUUGUUCACUUUUUUUUUUUGUUUGUUUCAUCUUUGUUCAUCACGGUAGGGAAUCUGCCAAAUGGAAAAAGGAAAAUCACUUUGAGAGCUACCACAAUUUUUAAACUUCUUCAAGGCAUACCAAAACCAGCAAUUACAUAUCAACUAGAGGAAAAAAAAGCGGAAGACUAGGUAUUUCUUGGUACCUCUUUUAUGUGUUCACUAUUAGAAUGCGAAUAAUAAUAAUGAUGAUGAUGGUGAUACGUUCACUAUCAGAAUGUGGAUGAUGAUGAUGAUGAUGAUGAUGAUGAUAAUAAUAAUAAUAAUAAUGUUUUGCACCCUGUGUUCUAUCCUAAUCUUUGAUCUUAAGAUUUUGGGGUAUUGUUACUUUUAACUACUGUAACUGCACUCUAAAAUACUUCUCUAUUGUCAGCAUCAGAUGUAAAGCAAUUGCUGCUCUUUGCAGUGUCUCAACAGGUCGGAGUCAGGUACCCAACUGAGUGACAAGGGAGGCUAUGCAACGCUUUAGAACUAUUAAAUGAGUAGAAGACACCAGGACCUGGCUGCAGCAACCUAAGUGAGACUUGAUGAAGGUUCAGGGCUGAGCAUCCCUCUUGGCUGGGAAAUGUGACAAUGCCCAAAAUGGUCACGUAGUCAGGGUCUGGUGGUGACAUACCACAAGCUUGACUUUGCAGAACUGUGCUGCCCGAAGACCAGGAUUUCUUUGAGGACAGUGUUUCUCCUUUAUAGGUGGAGCUGCUUUAAUGAGUGUUCAUUUUGAACCUCAAGAGAAUCAUGCAUGAGAUACUUUGAGGUAGUAAGGUCUUCUAGUUACUGAGAUUUUUUUCCCUUGAUAUUGCUUUCCCUGCUGAUUAAAUUGGGAUGGAACUCUUUGGAUUGCUAUUUGUCUAACGCCCAAGAAUGGGCAACCCCAGGAACCUGCAGUGCCUAGGCCUCUUGGGAACAGGAAGACACAGUAUUAGCGGCAUUAACAGUGCCUUAAAAUUAAGUGUAGAACGGUACAGUCUGGAGCACUGCCAUGUGCAGGAGAGGGAGAACCCUAUUUAUACACCAGUAGGCUAUUCUGGGAGUGCUAACACUGAGAGUGAGCAGCUGUGAGAAAAACAGAGAAUAAGUGACAGUACACUCUGAAAUGGAAAUCACAGCAAAGCGCCAUAUGUGUUGACUGAGUAGUACCGCCAGCGCCCUCGUUUCGGUGCUCUGAAGUGAUAGCUUACAACUUGCUGGAUGAAUUUUCACAAAACUGCUGUUCCACACAGUAAUCUCCAGAACUGCAGCUGUUCUGACUUGUAUACAGCACAUGGGAUAACAGUGGUCGGCAAAAUUCAGUCUUGAACGCUGCUGGAAGACCAGGCAGGAACUGAA
Long non-coding RNA from Corapipo altera (White-ruffed manakin), 10823 nucleotides. RefSeq lists it as uncharacterized. Lineage: Eukaryota; Metazoa; Chordata; Aves; Passeriformes; Pipridae. The record is from RefSeq and is a predicted model, not a curated record. The transcript is spliced from 7 exons.